This 788-nucleotide ribosomal RNA is filed under the name Chisosa sp. RNAcentral describes it as "partial large subunit ribosomal RNA". Lineage: Eukaryota; Metazoa; Arthropoda; Arachnida; Araneae; Pholcidae. The record is from RNAcentral.
GAAGAGAGAGUUCAAGAGUACGUGAAACUGCUCAGAAGCAAACGGGUGGGCACUCGAAAUCCCACUGCGGAGGGAUUCAGUCGGGAGCGGCGGCGACGUUGCCGACCGGUCGGACCCUUUUAGCGAAGGCCGGCCGCCGGAUCGAUCUCUCCCCUCGCCCGACGCACUUCCUUCCGCACGGCGGACGCCGCAACCGGUCGGGUAGCUGCGAGAGUCGGCCGUGAGGACGAGCGACGGCAGGUGGCCGUGGACUUUGCCCCGGCAUCGUUCGCGGUCGUUAGCCGGCUCGCCCGUGGCGCGACACCCGACCGAGGUCAUASUUCCCGAUCUGCGGGAACGAGCCGCGCCCCGCUUUAAGCGGCGGUACCCCGGACACGCGAUCGGCCGCGCUGCCGCGUCACUCUCAGUAGUGGCCGGCUAGCGUCGGGCGCGGCUGGUCCGGCAAAUAACCGCGGGCGGACGCCGGCGGUUGGCGGCGAGUAGGUCGGUCACCCACCCGACCCGUCUUGAAACACGGACCAAGGAGUCUAACAUGUGCGCGAGUCGCCGGGUCUUGAACAGGCCCGCGGGCGCAGUGAAAGCGAAGGUCGGCCUCCGCGCCGAACGAGUUGGGACUCCCCGUUUCGGACUCUCCGCUCGCGGGGAAGAAGCGCGGGGAAGCACCAACGACCCGUCCGAUCCGGCAUCGCCGGCCGGGCGGAGUCUGAGCGCACACGUUGGGACCCGAAAGAUGGUGAACUAUGCGUGGGCAGAACGAAGCCAGAGGAAACUGUGGUGGAGGUUCGCAG